UCUGGCAAUUAUGGCGAGAAGGUCACACCCGUUCCCAUACCGAACACGGAAGUUAAGCUUCUCAGCGCCGAUGGUAGUUGGAACGCAAGUCCCUGUGAGAGUAGGACAUUGCCAGGC
RNAcentral lists this ribosomal RNA (117 nucleotides) under Bacillota bacterium. The record is from RNAcentral. Lineage: Bacteria; Bacillati; Bacillota.